UUGAUCCUGGCUCAGAGCGAACGCUGGCGGCAGGCUUAACACAUGCAAGUCGAGCGGGCCCUUCGGGGUCAGCGGCAGACGGGUGAGUAACGCGUGGGAACGUGCCCUUCGGUUCGGAAUAACCCUGGGAAACUAGGGCUAAUACCGGAUACGCCCCUUGGGGGAAAGGUUUACUGCCGAAGGAUCGGCCCGCGUCUGAUUAGCUAGUUGGUGAGGUAACGGCUCACCAAGGCGACGAUCAGUAGCUGGUCUGAGAGGAUGAUCAGCCACACUGGGACUGAGACACGGCCCAGACUCCUACGGGAGGCAGCAGAAGGG
RNAcentral lists this ribosomal RNA (318 nucleotides) under uncultured Methylobacterium sp. RNAcentral describes it as "bacterial SSU rRNA". It matches the Rfam family "Bacterial small subunit ribosomal RNA", at positions 13 to 359 of the family's 1533-position model. The record is from RNAcentral. Lineage: Bacteria; Pseudomonadati; Pseudomonadota; Alphaproteobacteria; Hyphomicrobiales; Methylobacteriaceae.